UACAGAGGGUGCGAGCGUUGUUCGGAAUUAUUGGGCGUAAAGGGAGUGUAGGCGGUUUGGAAAGUCUUCUGUGAAAUCUACGGGCUUACCCUGUAAAGUGCAGAGGAAACUUCCAGGCUUGAGUGUCGGAGAGGAUAGGGGAAUACCCGGUGUAGAGGUGAAAUUCGUAGAGAUCGGGUGGAACACCAGUGGCGAAGGCGCCUAUCUGGCUGACAACUGACGCUGAGACUCGAAAGCAUGGGGAGCAAACAGG
Molecule: ribosomal RNA, 253 nt
Filed under: uncultured bacterium
Lineage: Bacteria
Description: partial 16S ribosomal RNA
Rfam family: Bacterial small subunit ribosomal RNA
Source: RNAcentral